RNAcentral lists this ribosomal RNA (522 nucleotides) under uncultured Glomus. RNAcentral describes it as "SSU rRNA". It matches the Rfam family "Eukaryotic small subunit ribosomal RNA", at positions 569 to 1092 of the family's 1831-position model. Lineage: Eukaryota; Fungi; Glomeromycota; Glomeromycetes; Glomerales; Glomeraceae. The record is from RNAcentral.
AGCAGCCGCGGUAAUUCCAGCUCCAAUAGCGUAUAUUAAAGUUGUUGCAGUUAAAAAGCUCGUAGUUGAAUUUCGGGGUUAGUAGGCUGGUCAUGCCACCGGUAUGUACUGGUCUUACUGAUUCCUCCUUCCUGAUGAACUGUAAUGCCAUUAAUUUGGUGUUGCAGGGAAUCUGGACUGUUACUUUGAAAAAAUUAGAGUGUUUAAAGCAGGCUAACGCUUGAAUACAUUAGCAUGGAAUAAUGAAAUAGGACGUUCGAUCCUAUUUUGUUGGUUUCUAGGAUUGACGUAAUGAUUAAUAGGGAUAGUUGGGGGCAUUAGUAUUCAAUUGUCAGAGGUGAAAUUCUUGGAUUUAUUGAAGACUAACUACUGCGAAAGCAUUUGCCAAGGAUGUUUUCAUUAAUCAAGAACGAAAGUUAGGGGAUCGAAGACGAUCAGAUACCGUCGUAGUCUUAACCAUAAACUAUGCCGACUAGGGAUCGGAUGAUGUUAAUUUUUUAAUGACUCAUUCGGCGCCUUACG